Molecule: ribosomal RNA, 459 nt
Filed under: uncultured bacterium
Lineage: Bacteria
Description: partial 16S ribosomal RNA
Rfam family: Bacterial small subunit ribosomal RNA
Source: RNAcentral
CCUACGGGUGGCAGCAGUGAGGAAUAUUGGUCAAUGGGCGCGAGCCUGAACCAGCCAAGUAGCGUGAAUGAUGACUGCCCUACGGGUUGUAAACUUCUUUUAUGAAGGAAUAAAGUGAGGCGCGUGUGCCUUUUUGUAUGUACUUUAUGAGUAAGGAUCGGCUAACUCCGUGCCAGCGGCCGCGGUAAUACGGUGGUGCGAGUGUUAGCCGGAAUUAUUGGGUUUAAAGGGAGCGUAGAUGGGUUGUUAAGUCAGUUGUGAAAGUUUGCGGCUCAACCGUAAAAUUGCAAUUGAUACUGGCAGCCUUGAGUACAGUUGAGGUAGGCGGAAUUCGUGGUGUAGCGGUGAAAUGCUUAGAUAUCACGAAGAACUCCGAUUGCGAAGGCAGCCUACUAAACUGCGACUGACAUUGAUGCUCGAAAGUGUGGGUAUCAAACAGGAUUAGAUACCCUUGUAGUC